GGAUAACUUACCUUUAGGACUGGGAUAACUCUGGGAAACUGGGGAUAAUACCGGAUAUUAGGUGGUGCCUGCAAUGGUUUACCUUUGAAAUGUUUUUUGUAUUCGCCUAAGGAUAGAUCUGCGGCUGAUUAGGUCGUUGGUGGGGUAAUGGCCCACCAAGCCGAUGAUCGGUACGGCUUGUGAGAGCAAGGGCCCGGAGAUGGAACCUGAGACAAGGUUCCAGACCCUACGGGGUGCAGCAGGCGCGAAACCUCCGCAAUGUACGUAAGUGCGACGGGGGGAUCCCAAGUGUUAUGCUUAAUAGUAUAACUUUUCAUUAGUGUAAAAAGCUUUUAGAAUAAGAGCUGGGCAAGACCGGUGCCAGCCGCCGCGGUAAUACCGGCAGCUCGAGUGGUAGCUGUUUUUAUUGGGCCUAAAGCGUUCGUAGCCGGUUUGAUAAGUCUUUGGUGAAAGCUUGUAGCUUAACUAUAAGAAUUGCUGGAGAUACUAUCAGACUUGAAGUCGGGAGAGGUUAGAGGUACUACCGGGGUAGGGGUGAAAUCCUAUAAUCCUGGGAGGACCACCUGUGGCGAAGGCGUCUAACUAGAACGAUCUUGACGGUGAGUAACGAAAGCCAGGGGCGCGAACCGGAUUAGAUACCCGGGUAGUCCUAGCCGUAAACGAUGUGGACUUGGUGUUGGAAUGGCUUUGAGUUGUUCCAGUGCCGAAGGGAAGCUGUUAAGUCCACCGCCUGGGAAGUACGGUCGCAAGACUGAAACUUAA
RNAcentral lists this ribosomal RNA (762 nucleotides) under uncultured archaeon. RNAcentral describes it as "bacterial SSU rRNA". It matches the Rfam family "Archaeal small subunit ribosomal RNA", at positions 102 to 859 of the family's 1478-position model. The record is from RNAcentral.